This 386-nucleotide long non-coding RNA is filed under the name Helianthus annuus (common sunflower). Its description in RNAcentral is "sRNA HanXRQr2_Chr10g0432011". Lineage: Eukaryota; Viridiplantae; Streptophyta; Magnoliopsida; Asterales; Asteraceae. The record is from RNAcentral.
UUAUAAUAUUUGUAACAUGUAUUUCACCCCCGAGAGUUAUAAAACCAAAAACAGUUAAAGAAAAGGGGGAGCAUGAACUCACAACUUUGCGUUCCUGCGUCACUUGUAUCGCACAAGUGCAAGUCACUAUCUUUUGUAUUUGUGUUCUUGUGUUAAAAAUAUUUAUAUUUUUAACUAUUUGUCUUAUAUCAUUUUCUCAAAAAUAAAUAUACGUAUCUUGUAUUUUGCACCCGAAUUAUGUAUUUUGUCCAAGUAAUAUAUUUUCAUAAAUAUAUCCUCUUGUAUGUGUCUAAGCAUGUUGUAUGUGUAUUUUCAUGUUUAUACUCCUCAUGAGUAUUUAGUGUAUCUUUACGUCUCAAUACGCUAGCACGUAUAACACAUACUAU